GGGUUGUGAGGUUAAGCGACUAAGCGUACACGGUGGAUGCCCUGGCAGUCAGAGGCGAUGAAGGACGUGCUAAUCUGCGAAAAGCGUCGGUAAGGUGAUAUGAACCGUUAUAACCGGCGAUGUCCGAAUGGGGAAACCCAGUGCAAUUCGUUGCACUAUCGUUAACUGAAUACAUAGGUUAACGAGGCGAACCGGGGGAACUGAAACAUCUAAGUACCCCGAGGAAAAGAAAUCAACCGAGAUUCCCCCAGUAGCGGCGAGCGAACGGGGAGCAGCCCAGAGUCUGAAUCAGCUUGUGUGUUAGUGGAACGGUCUGGAAAGUCCGACGGUACAGGGUGAUAGUCCCGUACACCAAAAUGCACAGGCUGUGAACUCGAAGAGUAGGGCGGGACACGUGGUAUCCUGUCUGAAUAUGGGGGGACCAUCCUCCAAGGCUAAAUACUCCUGACUGACCGAUAGUGAACCAGUACCGUGAGGGAAAGGCGAAAAGAACCCCGGCGAGGGGAGUGAAAAAGAACCUGAAACCGUGUACGUACAAGCAGUGGGAGCACCUUCGGGUGUGACUGCGUACCUUUUGUAUAAUGGGUCAGCGACUUAUAUUCUGUAGCAAGGUUAACCGUAUAGGGGAGCCGCAGGGAAACCGAGUCUUAACUGGGCGUUAAGUUGCAGGGUAUAGACCCGAAACCCGGUGAUCUAGCCAUGGGCAGGUUGAAGGUUGGGUAACACUAACUGGAGGACCGAACCGACUAAUGUUGAAAAAUUAGCGGAUGACUUGUGGCUGGGGGUGAAAGGCCAAUCAAACCGGGAGAUAGCUGGUUCUCCCCGAAAGCUAUUUAGGUAGCGCCUCGUGAACUCAUCUUCGGGGGUAGAGCACUGUUUCGGCUAGGGGGUCAUCCCGACUUACCAACCCGAUGCAAACUACGAAUACCGAAGAAUGUUAUCACGGGAGACACACGGCGGGUGCUAACGUCCGUCGUGAAGAGGGAAACAACCCAGACCGCCAGCUAAGGUCCCAAAGUCAUGGUUAAGUGGGAAACGAUGUGGGAAGGCACAGACAGCCAGGAUGUUGGCUUAGAAGCAGCCAUCAUUUAAAGAAAGCGUAAUAGCUCACUGGUCGAGUCGGCCUGCGCGGAAGAUGUAACGGGGCUAAACCAUGCACCGAAGCUGCGGCAGCGACACUAUGUGUUGUUGGGUAGGGGAGCGUUCUGUAAGCCUGCGAAGGUGUGCUGUGAGGCAUGCUGGAGGUAUCAGAAGUGCGAAUGCUGACAUAAGUAACGAUAAAGCGGGUGAAAAGCCCGCUCGCCGGAAGACCAAGGGUUCCUGUCCAACGUUAAUCGGGGCAGGGUGAGUCGACCCCUAAGGCGAGGCCGAAAGGCGUAGUCGAUGGGAAACAGGUUAAUAUUCCUGUACUUGGUGUUACUGCGAAGGGGGGACGGAGAAGGCUAUGUUAGCCGGGCGACGGUUGUCCCGGUUUAAGCAUGUAGGCUGGUUGUCCAGGCAAAUCCGGAUAAUCAAGGCUGAGGUGUGAUGACGAGGCACUACGGUGCUGAAGUAACAAAUGCCCUGCUUCCAGGAAAAGCCUCUAAGCAUCAGGUAACAUUAAAUCGUACCCCAAACCGACACAGGUGGUCAGGUAGAGAAUACCAAGGCGCUUGAGAGAACUCGGGUGAAGGAACUAGGCAAAAUGGUGCCGUAACUUCGGGAGAAGGCACGCUGGUGUGUAGGUGAAGCCCCUGCGGGUGGAGCUGAGACCAGUCGAAGAUACCAGCUGGCUGCAACUGUUUAUUAAAAACACAGCACUGUGCAAACACGAAAGUGGACGUAUACGGUGUGACGCCUGCCCGGUGCCGGAAGGUUAAUUGAUGGGGUUAUCCGUAAGGAGAAGCUCUUGAUCGAAGCCCCGGUAAACGGCGGCCGUAACUAUAACGGUCCUAAGGUAGCGAAAUUCCUUGUCGGGUAAGUUCCGACCUGCACGAAUGGCGUAAUGAUGGCCAGGCUGUCUCCACCCGAGACUCAGUGAAAUUGAACUCGCUGUGAAGAUGCAGUGUACCCGCGGCAAGACGGAAAGACCCCGUGAACCUUUACUAUAGCUUGACACUGAACAUUGAGCCUUGAUGUGUAGGAUAGGUGGGAGGCUUUGAAGCGUGGACGCCAGUCUGCGUGGAGCCAACCUUGAAAUACCACCCUUUAAUGUUUGAUGUUCUAACGUUGGCCCCUGACCGGGGUUGCGGACAGUGUCUGGUGGGUAGUUUGACUGGGGCGGUCUCCUCCCAAAGCGUAACGGAGGAGCACGAAGGUUAGCUAAUCCUGGUCGGACAUCAGGAGGUUAGUGCAAUGGCAUAAGCUAGCUUGACUGCGAGCGUGACGGCGCGAGCAGGUGCGAAAGCAGGUCAUAGUGAUCCGGUGGUUCUGAAUGGAAGGGCCAUCGCUCAACGGAUAAAAGGUACUCCGGGGAUAACAGGCUGAUACCGCCCAAGAGUUCAUAUCGACGGCGGUGUUUGGCACCUCGAUGUCGGCUCAUCACAUCCUGGGGCUGAAGUAGGUCCCAAGGGUAUGGCUGUUCGCCAUUUAAAGUGGUACGCGAGCUGGGUUUAGAACGUCGUGAGACAGUUCGGUCCCUAUCUGCCGUGGGCGCUGGAGAAUUGAGGGGGGCUGCUCCUAGUACGAGAGGACCGGAGUGGACGCAUCACUGGUGUUCGGGUUGUCAUGCCAAUGGCACUGCCCGGUAGCUAAAUGCGGAAGAGAUAAGUGCUGAAAGCAUCUAAGCACGAAACUUGCCCCGAGAUGAGUUCUCCCUGAGACUUUAAGUCUCCUGAAGGAACGUUGAAGACGACGACGUUGAUAGGCCGGGUGUGUAAGCGCAGCGAUGCGUUGAGCUAACCGGUACUAAUGAACCGUGAGGCUUAACCUUACAACGCCGAAG
This 2923-nucleotide ribosomal RNA is filed under the name Klebsiella pneumoniae. RNAcentral's name for it is "bacterial LSU rRNA". It matches the Rfam family "Bacterial large subunit ribosomal RNA". Lineage: Bacteria; Pseudomonadati; Pseudomonadota; Gammaproteobacteria; Enterobacterales; Enterobacteriaceae. The record is from RNAcentral.